This 445-nucleotide unclassified non-coding RNA is filed under the name Athalia rosae (coleseed sawfly). RNAcentral describes it as "misc RNA ENSAEAG00005007307.1". Lineage: Eukaryota; Metazoa; Arthropoda; Insecta; Hymenoptera; Athaliidae. The record is from RNAcentral.
UCGCGGGGUUCAAAGCGAUGUGUAUAAAACAGAACUGUAUACAACGACGUGUACGGCGAACAGUUGCAGUUGUAUAGUAUAGCCGGUUUAGAGUAAUUUUUAUCGUCCGCGUGUGAAAGAAAAAGCGCUGACCGUAGCAGUUGGCAGUAGCAACAACAAGUGCGAUAAUUGUAAAAACAAUCGUUGGCAAACGUACAAUUACUAUAGGUGUAUUAUAUACUACCGUCGCCUCGCUACCGCCUCGGUUAAUAUCUACUCACGGACGGAUGAACUGCACAUUAGAGCAACGAGAGGCUAGUUGCUCCAGAUUCUGCAUCGCUGGGUACAGAAGUUUCUUUGGAUUUUCAAUUCGCAGGCGAAAUUCCCCGGACGAUACGUCGUCGUCGUCGCGUUUCUCGCGCAUACGAUGGACGAUGUAUAUUUUAUCCCGUUUGUACCCCAUGCG